UAAGAUGUAGCAUAAUUAUAAUGCUUUUCGCUUACACUGAAAAAAUGCUUAGAGGAUUAAGCUAUCUUAA
RNAcentral lists this transfer RNA (70 nucleotides) under Tylomelania sarasinorum. RNAcentral's name for it is "tRNA-Val". It matches the Rfam family "tRNA". Rfam says of the family: Transfer RNA (tRNA) molecules are approximately 80 nucleotides in length. Their secondary structure includes four short double-helical elements and three loops (D, anti-codon, and T loops). Lineage: Eukaryota; Metazoa; Mollusca; Gastropoda; Pachychilidae. The record is from RNAcentral.